This 253-nucleotide ribosomal RNA is filed under the name uncultured bacterium. RNAcentral describes it as "partial 16S ribosomal RNA". It matches the Rfam family "Bacterial small subunit ribosomal RNA", at positions 524 to 776 of the family's 1533-position model. The record is from RNAcentral.
UACGUAGGGUGCAAGCGUUGCCCGGAUUUAUUGGGCGUAAAGGGCGCGUAGGCGGCUCGGCACGUCCGUUGUGAAAUCGCCCGGCUCAACUGGGCGGGGUCAGCGGAUACGGCCGAGCUUGAGCAAGCUAGGGGGCAAUGGAAUUCCCGGUGUAGUGGUGGAAUGCGUAGAUAUCAGGAGGAACACCGAUGGCGAAGGCAGGUCUCUGGGCCACUACUGACGCUGAGAAGCGAAAGCAUGGGGAGCGAACAGG